ACCGGCGCACGGGUGCGUAACGCGUAUAGACCUACCUUUUACAGAGGAAUAGCCUUUAGAAAUGAAGAUUAAUGCCUCAUAGUUUCGCAUGAAUAAAGAUUUAUCGGUAAAAGAUGGCUAUGCGUCCUAUUAGUUAGUUGGUAAGGUAACGGCUUACCAAGACAGCGAUAGGUAGGGGUCCUGAGAGGGAGAUCCCCCACACUGGUACUGAGACACGGACCAGACUCCUACGGGAGGCAGCAGUGAGGAAUAUUGGACAAUGGAGGAGACUCUGAUCCAGCCAUGCCGCGUGUAGGAAGAAUGCCUAUGGGUUGUAAACUACUUUUAUACAGGAAGAAACACUGGUAUGUAUACCAGCUUGACGGUACUGUAAGAAUAAGGACCGGCUAACUCCGUGCCAGCAGCCGCGGUAAUACGGAGGGUCCGAGCGUUAUCCGGAAUCAUUGGGUUUAAAGGGUCCGCAGGCGGUCGAUUAAGUCAGAGGUGAAAUCCCAUAGCUCAACUAUGGAACUGCCUUUGAUACUGGUUGACUUGAGUCAUAUGGAAGUAGAUAGAAUGCGUAGUGUAGCGGUGAAAUGCAUAGAUAUUACACAGAAUACCGAUUGCGAAGGCAGUCUACUACGUAUGUACUGACGCUGAGGGACGAAAGCGUGGGGAGCGAACAGGAUUAGAUACCCUGGUAGUCCACGCCGA
Molecule: ribosomal RNA, 693 nt
Filed under: uncultured bacterium
Lineage: Bacteria
Description: bacterial SSU rRNA
Rfam family: Bacterial small subunit ribosomal RNA
Source: RNAcentral